UACGUAGGGUGCAAGCGUUGUCCGGAAUUAUUGGGCGUAAAGAGCUCGUAGGCGGUCUGUCACGUCGGCUGUGAAAACCCGAGGCUCAACCUCGGGCCUGCAGUGGGUACGGGCAGACUAGAGUGCGGUAGGGGAGACUGGAAUUCCUGGUGUAGCGGUAGAAAUGCGCAGAUAUCAGGAGGGAACACCGGUGGGCGAAGGCGGGGUCUCUGGGCCGAUACUG
This 223-nucleotide ribosomal RNA is filed under the name uncultured bacterium. RNAcentral's name for it is "partial 16S ribosomal RNA". It matches the Rfam family "Bacterial small subunit ribosomal RNA", at positions 524 to 742 of the family's 1533-position model. The record is from RNAcentral.